Small nuclear RNA from Labeo rohita (rohu), 131 nucleotides. RefSeq annotates it as U11 spliceosomal RNA. The transcript has a single exon. Lineage: Eukaryota; Metazoa; Chordata; Actinopteri; Cypriniformes; Cyprinidae. The record is from RefSeq and is a predicted model, not a curated record.
AAAAAGGGUAUUUGCUGUGAUUGGCAUGGUGGUGUAAGAAAGUUUUUUUGCACAAUAACAGAAUCACUAUCAAAAGGUUCUGAAUGCAAAAUUUUUGUAUUUGAAGCCUGAUAAUGAUUGAUGUUGGAACU